UUAAUGCAUAAGAGAACUCCAAAUGAUAUUGUUUUUCAAUCUUUGUUUCAGUACGAUUGCAGAAAGCAUUCCAAAUUUUUAAAAGUAUUUGCUUUGAUGCCAUUGGUGUAAGUGGUGCAUUAAUCUAGAAGGCAAUUCCAAAUUGUACUAACAUAAAGAACUGUAGAUGCUAAAGAUCCGAACUAAUAAAUAUAAAUUGCUGGGCAAAAUUAGCAUGUCUGGCUGCAUCUGUGACGAGAAAGCAGAGUUAACAUUUUGAGUCCAGUGGCCCUUCAGAACUUUUAGUCUUUGCUUUGAUGCGAUUAGCGUGAGGGGUGAAUUCAAGCAAAACGAAUUGCAGUUUGUUUUAGUCUUUGCUUUGAUAUGAUCGAUGUGAUGUAGAUAGAUCCGAGAUAGGCAAUUUUUGUUAACCGGAUACGUGUUAAAAGCCGGUAUCUCGAGUUAGGCCACAGAUCAGCCAUGAUCUCAUUGAAGAGCAGAACAGGAUCGAGGGGCUGAAUGGCCUACUCUUGUUCCUAUGUUCCUGCUGGAGUUUUGUUUUUAGCUCUUACAUUGAUUUGAUCGGUGUUUACUGCAUUUCUUUUUAAAGAAAAGGAAAUAUAAAUCAUUAAACAAUCUUGAGCACAUCUAGCUUUCACAUAACAUCAACAAUUGCUGGAGGAACUCUGCAGGCCUGGCAGCAUCUGUGGACAGAGAGACACAGUUAACUUUUGGCGGUCCAGUGACUCUUCUUCGUAAUGCAGAAACUGCGUUAUGGUUUACUCAAGGGAGCGCUGAAAUCAGACGUAGAUCACUGCAGAUAUUGGCUGGCGAGUGGAGUACUCAUUACCCUGGAAUCUGAUCGGCACCCUUUUCGAUGUGAAAACGAACGCGCUGGGUGUCACGACCGAGAUAAGUGAUUUCAUUAAACUAGCGCUCAGUGAAAUUAAUUCGAGUCGAGGGGUUUCUCUUCAGGCGAAUUAACACAACAUAACUACUUACUUCUCGGUUGAAACCGGCAAUACCGUGUUAAAUCUGCUGGGAAAAUAUGAGAAUGAAUGCAUUCGUGUUGCUAGCGAAUCUUAACAAUCUUGCGGAUCUCAGACAGCAAAAUUGCAAUCUUUUGCCAUCGGGAGGAAGGUGAUAUUAUAGAGGUGAACAUUUUAAGGAACACAAAAUCGGAAAACUUGAAUAACGGACUCACGUCCCGAUGCUCGAUGCCUGACUAGCAUCCACUAUUUUGGCAAUAAAUGCGCAUUUUGAUUCCGUUGGAAGCUGCUCGCGAGCCACAAGAAAAAAAAUCAGAUUUUCUUCAGGAUUUAAACAGAGAAUGGAAUAGGGAGAGUCAUCCUUACAUAUGAAGAAGCCAGCGACCAUUCAGCCCAUCGCUAUGUGUUGUUUCAACGAUCCUUUAUUAUUUCCUCAAUGAAAUCUUCAGUUCAUCCGCAUUUAUCUAUACAAUAGGGAAACGCUACCACUGCAACGCCCAACUAUAUUUUUACAACACCGCGUUUUUGGUUGUACCAGCUCGCCUGACGAUUACUUCCAUUUCCGAAGCAUUUUAAAUGUAAAGCGUUGGGCAUUUCCAGCAUUUAUUUGAAAAUAAUAUGGUAAUUUGCUGACAUGUUUAACCACGCAUUUCAGGUUUGAACACACUUGAUAUUUUCAUCUAUUCGUUCGCACUGAUGCAAAUAAAACCUGCCCAAUGUAAGUAGCAAUCCAUGUGUAGCAAUUUUUACGUGAUAACUUGUACCGUUUUGUCUCUGUUUCUCCGUUUAAAUUAACACUUAAUUGGGUGUCUCUCAAUAGCGAUGUCAAAUUCUAAUGCAGAAAAAUUCUGAAAUAAAAAUUAUCCAAUAUAUGAGUUCGAAAUUUGAGUUUAUUAA
This is a long non-coding RNA of Stegostoma tigrinum, 1865 nucleotides long. RefSeq lists it as uncharacterized. The transcript has 3 exons. The record is from RefSeq and is a predicted model, not a curated record. Lineage: Eukaryota; Metazoa; Chordata; Chondrichthyes; Orectolobiformes; Stegostomatidae.